Molecule: ribosomal RNA, 254 nt
Filed under: uncultured bacterium
Lineage: Bacteria
Description: partial 16S ribosomal RNA
Rfam family: Bacterial small subunit ribosomal RNA
Source: RNAcentral
CGUAGGGGCAAGCGUUGUCCGGAUUUAUUGGGGCGUAAAGCGCGCGCAGGCGGCUCUUUAAGUCAGGUGUGAAAGGCUGCGGCUCAACCGCAGAGCUGCACCUGAAACUGGGGAGCUUGAGUACAGGAGAGGAGAGUGGAAUUCCCGGUGUAGCGGUGGAAUGCGUAGAGAUCGGGAGGAACACCAGUGGCGAAGGCGACUCUCUGGACUGUAACUGACGCUGAGGCGCGAAAGCGUGGGGAGCGAACAGGAUU